Tigriopus californicus is the source of this 829-nucleotide long non-coding RNA. RefSeq lists it as uncharacterized. NCBI's taxonomy places the organism in Eukaryota, Metazoa, Arthropoda, Copepoda, Harpacticoida, Harpacticidae. The record is from RefSeq and is a predicted model, not a curated record. The transcript is spliced from 3 exons.
UGGUGGUGGUGCUUUUUUGCUUCAAUCUCAAACGAGGUGUUCUGAAGAAAAAUGUCGUCCAACUUUUGUCAAUUCGCGUGGAGCACGUUGAGCCCCAUGAUUAUGGAGUCUCGUCUCUCAGAUCAGAUAAUGUCGUAAACGAGCUACCCUGUCUUUCUUUCUCAACUGAUGGUCUGGGAAAAUGUUGGAUAUGGGCCAUACUGCCACCCUGCGCACAAAGCUUAUUAAGAUAACCCGGCCGAAUAAUAACGGCAACUGAAAACAACGCUACCUGCACUCUCGUCCCUGCUCUCGCAAUCAACCUGUAAGCACAACCUGUUCCAGGCGUUAUGAUCGAAAUGUAUUCAAAUACUACAUGGUAGAUGUGCCUUCAAAGCAAAAGGCUCAAGUGAGAUGUGGUAAAUCCUAGAAUGGCUUUAUUGAAGUGGAAGAGCAGGACUUAAAGCCCCCACAAUGAGCACUUUGAUCAAGUUGUGUUGUCCCGUGAUGGGAGACGGGUCCCUUUGUGGAGCGAUCAAACUUCAAACAUGCCAUGAGUGGAAACCCCACAUAACCAAAGAUCACCUACGGGACAUUCAUGCAACCAUCCAUGUUUAAUGUACGACUUAGCAGUACAGAGCAUGCAUAUCUACCUACGUAGGGAACGUACCGUCUAGGAGCGUCGACGUCGAUAAUUUCUGGUGGCAGGCAGCACGCAUUCAACAAUGUUCGAUUGCUGAAUAGCCUUUUCUGCAAGUUCAUUCAUGUCACUCACAUCCUGUCAUUAUGAUCCAAUUGGGGCUCGCCAGAGCCAAAAUUGGCAGUGCCUCCAAAAGGAAUUGUACGUACG